Molecule: ribosomal RNA, 396 nt
Filed under: Triticum aestivum (bread wheat)
Lineage: Eukaryota; Viridiplantae; Streptophyta; Magnoliopsida; Poales; Poaceae
Description: partial small subunit ribosomal RNA
Source: RNAcentral
AUGCUACAUGAGGAAAAGGCGGCAGUCAUCAAAAGAUUAAUGAAGAAGGGACAAUUGCCUGCACAACUAACAGAAGUGGAUGAGAAUGGUAACCGUUGGCCAACUAAGGAAGCUUUAAUUUCUGCAAAGAAAGUUGACUUUGGUACCGAUGUUGGUUGGCGUCUACUAUGUGAGCAUUGGAGUGGUGCUGAAUUUAGAGGGUUACCCUUAAGAAACAAGAGGAACAGACUUGCUAAUGGGGAUACAAUCUUCCAUUGCAGCGGGAAAGACCCUGGAAUUUCCGGUGCUUGGCUUCACACGCACAAUUUGCAUCGAGGGACCGACGAAGAGAAGAUUUGCAGUCAAAGAACUGCCGAUCGUUGGGUUAGCGAAAUCUUGCGACUUAGCUCAUUUUAA